GCCGAGGUGGUGAAAUUGGUAAACACGAUGGAUUCAAAAUCCAUUGCUCGCAAGAGCUUGUGGGUUCGAGUCCCACCCUCGGCACUA
This 87-nucleotide transfer RNA is filed under the name Parcubacteria bacterium DG_74_2. RNAcentral's name for it is "tRNA-Leu". It matches the Rfam family "tRNA". From Rfam's summary of the family: Transfer RNA (tRNA) molecules are approximately 80 nucleotides in length. The record is from RNAcentral. Lineage: Bacteria; Candidatus Parcubacteria.